This 305-nucleotide ribosomal RNA is filed under the name uncultured bacterium. RNAcentral describes it as "bacterial SSU rRNA". It matches the Rfam family "Bacterial small subunit ribosomal RNA", at positions 336 to 658 of the family's 1533-position model. The record is from RNAcentral.
UUCCUACGGGACGCAGCAGUGGGGAAUAUUGCACAAUGGGGGAAACCCUGAUGCAGCGACGCCGCGUGAGUGAAGAAGUAUUUCGGUAUGUAAAGCUCUAUCAGCAGGGAAGAAAAUGACGGUACCUGAUUAAGAAGCCCCGGCUAACUACGUGCCAGCAGCCGCGGUAAUACGUAGGGGGCAAGCGUUAUCCGGAUUUACUGGGUGUAAAGGGAGCGUAGACGGUGAUGCAAGUCAGAAGUGAAAGCCCGGGGCUCAACUCCGGGACUGCUUUUGAAACUGUGUGACUGGAGUGCAGGAGAGGG